RNAcentral lists this ribosomal RNA (748 nucleotides) under uncultured cyanobacterium. Its description in RNAcentral is "bacterial SSU rRNA". It matches the Rfam family "Bacterial small subunit ribosomal RNA", at positions 8 to 796 of the family's 1533-position model. Lineage: Bacteria; Bacillati; Cyanobacteriota. The record is from RNAcentral.
AGAGUUUGAUCAUGGCUCAGGAUGAACGCUGGCGGUAUGCUUAACACAUGCAAGUCGAACGAAUCCCUUCGGGGAUGAGUGGCGGACGGGUGAGUAACGCGUGAGAAUUUACCAAAAGGACCGGGACAACCACUGGAAACGGUGGCUAAUACCGGAUGAGCCGAAAAGUAAAAAGGGAAACCUGCCUUUUGAAGAGCUCGCGUCUGAUUAGCUAGUUGGUGAGGUAAGAGCUUACCAAGGCAGCGAUCAGUAGCUGGUCUGAGAGGACGACCAGCCACACUGGGACUGAGACACGGCCCAGACUCCUACGGGAGGCAGCAGUGGGGAAUUUUCCGCAAUGGGCGAAAGCCUGACGGAGCAAGACCGCGUGAGGGAGGAAGGCUCUUGGGUCGUAAACCUCUUUUGUCAGGGAAGAACACAAUGACGGUACCUGACGAAUCAGCAUCGGCUAACUCCGUGCCAGCAGCCGCGGUAAUACGGAGGAUGCAAGCGUUAUCCGGAAUUAUUGGGCGUAAAGCGUCCGUAGAUGGUUUUGCCAGUCGGCUGUCAAAGCACAGGGCUUAACCCUGUAAAGGCAGUGGAAACUACAAGACUAGAGUGCAGUAGGGGCAGAGGGAAUUCCCAGUGUAGCGGUGAAAUGCGUAGAGAUUGGGAAGAACACCCGUGGCGAAAGCGCUCUGCUGGACUGCCACUGACAUUGAGGGACGAAAGCUAGGGGAGCGAAUGGGAUUAGAUACCCCAGUAGUCC